RNAcentral lists this ribosomal RNA (225 nucleotides) under uncultured bacterium. RNAcentral describes it as "partial 16S ribosomal RNA". It matches the Rfam family "Bacterial small subunit ribosomal RNA", at positions 328 to 539 of the family's 1533-position model. The record is from RNAcentral.
ACGCUCGACACCUACGGGGGGCAGCAGUUAGGAAUAUUCGUCAAUGGGGGAAACCCGUGAACGAGCAAUGCCGCGUGUGUGAUGAAGGCCCUCUGGGUUGUAAAGCACUGUUGUUUGGAAAGAAUGAUAUGAUUAGGAAAUGAGUCAUAUUUGACGGUACCAUUCAAGAAAGCCACGGCUAACUACGUGCCAGCAGCCGCGGUAAUCUGAGCGGGCUGGCAAGGC